This 470-nucleotide ribosomal RNA is filed under the name uncultured bacterium. RNAcentral's name for it is "bacterial SSU rRNA". It matches the Rfam family "Bacterial small subunit ribosomal RNA", at positions 28 to 507 of the family's 1533-position model. The record is from RNAcentral.
GACGAACGCUGGCGGCGUGGAUUAGGCAUGCAAGUCGGACGGUAGAGCUUUAUCGUAAGAUAGAGUUUGAGAGUGGCGAACGGGUGAGUAACACGUAGGAAUCUACCCUUAAGACGGGGACAACCCAGGGAAACUUGGGCUAAUACCGGAUGAGAGUGCGAGAGAUUGCAUUUAAAAGGAUGGCGAAAGUUGUCGCUUAGGGAUGAGCCUGCGGUCUAUUAGUUAGUUGGUGAGGUAACGGCUCACCAAGGCGACGAUGGGUAGCCGACCUGAGAGGGUGACCGGCCACACUGGGACUGAGACACGGCCCAGACUCCUACGGGAGGCAGCAGUGGGGAAUAUUGCGCAAUGGACGGAAGUCUGACGCAGCGACGCCGCGUGAGCGACGAAGGCCUUCGGGUCGUAAAGCUCUGUUCUUGGGGACGAAGGAAAUGACGGUACCCAAGGAGAAAGCCCCGGCUAACUACGUG